AUUGAACGCUGGCGGAAGGCCUAACACAUGCAAGUCGAACGGUAACAGGAAGAAGCUUGCUUCUUUGCUGACGAGUGGCGGACGGGUGAGUAAUGUCUGGGAAACUGCCUGAUGGAGGGGGAUAACUACUGGAAACGGUAGCUAAUACCGCAUAACGUCGCAAGACCAAAGAGGGGGACCUUCGGGCCUCUUGCCAUCGGAUGUGCCCAGAUGGGAUUAGCUAGUAGGUGGGGUAACGGCUCACCUAGGCGACGAUCCCUAGCUGGUCUGAGAGGAUGACCAGCCACACUGGAACUGAGACACGGUCCAGACUCCUACGGGAGGCAGCAGUGGGGAAUAUUGCACAAAGGGCGCAAGCCUGAUGCAGCCAUGCCGCGUGUAUGAAGAAGGCCUUCGGGUUGUAAAGUACUUUCAGCGGGGAGGAAGGGAGUAAAGUUAAUACCUUUGCUCAUUGACGUUACCCGCAGAAGAAGCACCGGCUAACUCCGUG
This 490-nucleotide ribosomal RNA is filed under the name uncultured bacterium. RNAcentral's name for it is "partial 16S ribosomal RNA". It matches the Rfam family "Bacterial small subunit ribosomal RNA", at positions 30 to 507 of the family's 1533-position model. The record is from RNAcentral.